This 653-nucleotide ribosomal RNA is filed under the name uncultured bacterium. Its description in RNAcentral is "bacterial SSU rRNA". It matches the Rfam family "Bacterial small subunit ribosomal RNA", at positions 202 to 842 of the family's 1533-position model. The record is from RNAcentral.
AAAAGGUGGCUAUGCUACCGCUUUUGGAUGGGCCCGCGGCGCAUUAGCUAGUUGGUGGGGUAAAGGCUUACCAAGGCAAUGAUGCGUAGCCGAACUGAGAGGUUGAUCGGCCACAUUGGGACUGAGACACGGCCCAAACUCCUACGGGAGGCAGCAGUAGGGAAUCUUCCACAAUGGGCGAAAGCCUGAUGGAGCAACGCCGCGUGGGUGAAGAAGGUCUUCGGAUCGUAAAACCCUGUUGUUAGAGAAGAAAGUGCGUGAGAGUAACUGUUCACGUUUCGACGGUAUCUAACCAGAAAGCCACGGCUAACUAUGUGCCAGCAGCCGCGGUAAUACGUAGGUGGCAAGCGUUAUCCGGAUUUAUUGGGCGUAAAGGGAACGCAGGCGGUCUUUUAAGUCUGAUGUGAAAGCCUUCGGCUUAACCGGAGUAGUGCAUUGGAAACUGGGAGACUUGAGUGCAGAAGAGGAGAGUGGAACUCCAUGUGUAGCGGUGAAAUGCGUAGAUAUAUGGAAGAACACCAGUGGCGAAAGCGGCUCUCUGGUCUGUAACUGACGCUGAGGUUCGAAAGCGUGGGUAGCAAACAGGAUUAGAUACCCUGGUAGUCCACGCCGUAAACGAUGAAUGCUAAGUGUUGGAGGGUUUCCGCCCUUCA